CCAGGUGCACGACCACCUGUUUCCUAUUCGGACAUGCGUUGCUGGUGACGGCAGGGUGUGAAGCUCCGAAGACAAUGUACCCCCGCUUUGGCGGUGCUCUCUUUACGCGAGUGAACGAGCAGAGACUGCCAGCAGCACGGCGGUUGAGGGG
This 151-nucleotide non-coding RNA is filed under the name Collimonas sp. OK607. The record is from RNAcentral. Lineage: Bacteria; Pseudomonadati; Pseudomonadota; Betaproteobacteria; Burkholderiales; Oxalobacteraceae.